UACGUAGGUGGCAAGCGAUACUCGGAAUCACUAGGCGUAAAGCGCAGGUAGGCGGUUUGAUAAGUCUAUUGUGAAAGCUCCCGGCUUAACUGGGAGAGGCCAAUGGAAACUGUCAGGCUAGAGUGUGGUAGAGGAAGAUGGAAUUCCCGGUGUAGCGGUGAAAUGCGUAGAUAUCGGGAGGAAUACCUAUGGCGAAAGCAGUCUUCUGGACCAUCACUGACGCUGAUCUGCGAAAGCUAGGGGAGCAAACAGG
Molecule: ribosomal RNA, 253 nt
Filed under: uncultured bacterium
Lineage: Bacteria
Description: partial 16S ribosomal RNA
Rfam family: Bacterial small subunit ribosomal RNA
Source: RNAcentral